This 60-nucleotide transfer RNA is filed under the name Rhodococcus sp. (in: high G+C Gram-positive bacteria). Its description in RNAcentral is "Rhodococcus sp. tRNA-Arg". It matches the Rfam family "tRNA", at positions 7 to 64 of the family's 71-position model. From Rfam's summary of the family: Transfer RNA (tRNA) molecules are approximately 80 nucleotides in length. Their secondary structure includes four short double-helical elements and three loops (D, anti-codon, and T loops). The record is from RNAcentral. Lineage: Bacteria; Bacillati; Actinomycetota; Actinomycetes; Mycobacteriales; Nocardiaceae.
GUAGCUCAGGGGAUAGAGCGUUCGCCUCCGGAGCGAAAGGUCGCAGGUUCGAAUCCUGCC